AGAAGAAGAAGAAGGAAGAAGAAAGAAGAAGAAGAAGAAGAAAGAAGAAGAAGAAGAAGAAGAAGUUGCAGAAAAAGGAGGAAGAAGAAGAAGAAGGAGGUUAAUUUUGUCAAUUCACGUGUCCCAAACGGCUAAUUUGGACGGAAGGACUACGAAGUUGGACAGAAAAGAAAGUGAGGGACUUAAGUGUUGGGUCGCCAAAAUAGAGGGACAGAAGUGUUAAUUAUGUUAAACCUCAGGGACUACAAAGUAAUUUUCCC
RNAcentral lists this long non-coding RNA (260 nucleotides) under Manihot esculenta (cassava). Its description in RNAcentral is "long non-coding RNA (MESC_LNC010683)". Lineage: Eukaryota; Viridiplantae; Streptophyta; Magnoliopsida; Malpighiales; Euphorbiaceae. The record is from RNAcentral.